CCCGGGGCUGAAUGUCACUACUGUGACCUGCGGAGGAUCAUUACCUAGAGUUGUAGGCUUUGCCUGCUAUCUCUUACCCAUGUCUUUUAAGUACCUUCGUUUCCUCGGCGGGUUCGCCCGCCGAUUGGACAAUUUAAACCAUUUGCAGUUGCAAUCAGCGUCUGAAAAAACUUAAUAGUUACAACUUUCAACAACGGAUCUCUUGGUUCUGGCAUCGAUGAAGAACGCAGCGAAAUGCGAUAAGUAGUGUGAAUUGCAGAAUUCAGUGAAUCAUCGAAUCUUUGAACGCACAUUGCGCCCCUUGGUAUUCCAUGGGGCAUGCCUGUUCGAGCGUCAUUUGUACCUUCAAGCUCUGCUUGGUGUUGGGUGUUUGUCUCGCCUCUGCGUGUAGACUCGCCUCAAAACAAUUGGCAGCCGGCGUAUUGAUUUCGGAGCGCAGUACAUCUCGCGCUUUGCACUCAUAACGACGACGUCCAAAAGUACAUUUUUACACUCUUGACCUCGGAUCAGGUAGGGAUACCCGCUGAACUUAA
Molecule: ribosomal RNA, 533 nt
Filed under: Didymella macrostoma
Lineage: Eukaryota; Fungi; Ascomycota; Dothideomycetes; Pleosporales; Didymellaceae
Description: eukaryotic LSU rRNA
Rfam family: 5.8S ribosomal RNA (bases 183-336)
Source: RNAcentral